AAAUUAGCACGUUAGCACGUUAUUGUAAUAUCCCAUAGUACAUACAUGUUAUUAAAACUUGAACUAAUGCACUUUGAGUCUUAUAAAUUGCUUACAUACCUCACCGAUUUCUGCAUGUCUGGAAAACGCUUGGAUUUAGUUCCUGUCUCCGCCUCCCAAAAUGUCUAGUGUAUUCGGAUUGGUCAGAUGACUACUCAACUGUUAUUGGUCAACUGGGUUCGGCGUGUGUUUGAAAGGUUACGCCCCUGACUACGCGUGGGUUUUCCGGUUCUGACUGAGAGUCACAGGCAACGUAAACAAGCGCUAUAUUUCUCUAUAAACGAUGGUGUCUGUACUGCCUUACCACUUCGAGCUCGAUCCAGAGAGUUCAGAAGGCCGUUACAAUAUAAACGAUCUCCGUCAAUGAACGCGAUUGGAUUUAACUUUUUUAGGUGUCCUUAGCUCUGCCAGAAUGCUAAACGAAGACGAAAAUGUGUUGCAAAGACAUCCAAAAGGUUUUAAGGAGAAUGCAACAGGUUCCAGGGCUUCUUACCUGCGUGAUUCAUCAUCCAGGUUUUGCACAAAUUGUCUAAAUCCCUACACACAGAACAUUUAUUGUACCGACUAUAAGCCUUUGAGGUGCAGGACUAGAAUACGCUUGGAGCUUCCUGAUCAGAUCGGUCACAAUUUUGGCUUUCGACGACCCCUGCACUGAAGAUGGCAUGCAAUCACGUCCUCCUUUGAAGGUCUCUCAAACUGUGAUGCCAGGUCCAUUGGAAUCAGGGCUUCCUUCAGCUUAUCUUCAAAUACCUCAUCAAAUACAAGCCUGAUCACAUCAUCCACAUAACUGUAGAAAUAUUGCAGUCAAUAAAUCUUUUGUUUUGAUCAUUUAUUUCCCUGCUUCAUACAUUAAGUUUUUAAUUAUGAAUGUAUUUGAAAUAAAACAUUACUGCUUACGGUAUGUCACUUGUGUGUUUUGGGAACAUAGCCUUGUACUUUCCCUCUCCUGCUUUUGUUACG
Molecule: non-coding RNA, 999 nt
Organism: Paramisgurnus dabryanus
Lineage: Eukaryota; Metazoa; Chordata; Actinopteri; Cypriniformes; Cobitidae
Source: RefSeq, a predicted model, not a curated record